Molecule: ribosomal RNA, 506 nt
Filed under: uncultured bacterium
Lineage: Bacteria
Description: partial 16S ribosomal RNA
Rfam family: Bacterial small subunit ribosomal RNA
Source: RNAcentral
AUUGAACGCUGGCGGCAUGCCUAACACAUGCAAGUCGAACGGCAGCACGGUCUAGUUUACUAGAUGGGUGGCGAGUGGCGGACGGGUGAGUAAUGCGCAGGGAUAUGCCUUAAAGUGGGGGACAACUUGGGGAAACUCAAGCUAAUACCGCGUAAUCUCUGAGGAGAAAAGCUGGGGACCUUCGGGCCUGGCGCUUUAAGAUUAGCCUGCGUCCGAUUAGCUAGUUGGUAGGGUAAAGGCCUACCAAGGCGACGAUCGGUAGCUGGUCUGAGAGGAUGACCAGCCACACUGGAACUGAGACACGGUCCAGACUACUACGGGAGGCAGCAGUGGGGAAUAUUGGACAAUGGGGGCAACCCUGAUCCAGCAAUGCCGCGUGUGUGAAGAAGGCCUGAGGGUUGUAAAGCACUUUCAGUGGGGAGGAGGAUUGAUAGGUUAAGAGCUAAUUAAUUGGACGUUACCCACAGAAGAAGCACCGGCUAACUCCGUGCCAGCAGCCGCCGUAA